This is a non-coding RNA of Lepisosteus oculatus (spotted gar), 1665 nucleotides long. The record is from RefSeq and is a predicted model, not a curated record. NCBI's taxonomy places the organism in Eukaryota, Metazoa, Chordata, Actinopteri, Semionotiformes, Lepisosteidae.
CAUUUGCAGAAAAUGCUCUUAUGGAAAGAAAUGCAGCUAGAUUACAGUUUGAUAAAGAAAUGUGAUGGGCGGUGUGAUGCUUUUUCUCGUACUCUGUCCUUGUUUAAUUGCUCCCCCUUUUCCGCAUUUUCUCUUCACAGCUGAGGCGCGAGGAGCACGUUGGCAUGUGUCAGCUCAGCGCCUGGGGUGGGAGCCAGUCUAAUCAUACACUGACAGGUCGGGCACUGCAGGGUCACUCCGAGGUUUCACACCGUGCAUCUUAUCAGUGACUGUGAACACUAAAGCUCGGUUGGACUUCUUUAAUGUCCCCCCCACCUCUGCUCCCCAGCACACAUACACACACCGCGCACCAGAAAGAAGGCAAGACUCCAAUUACCUUCUGCUUGUGAUCUCACUCACGGGUGCGCUUUUACAAUGCUCAUCACAGACUGCCUUUGUCCGUCUGGCUGCAUGCACACAGAGAUGAUUUUGGCUUAAAUUGGAUGUUUUGCAUUGCAAAUCUUGUCUUUUUUGCAUUUCAGUCUUUUUGUCUUUGUUAGUAAGGUAACACCUAAUGAGAACCGUCAAUUAUUUAAAUGCAAUAUGCAUAAAGUAACACCCUAUUUAUGGUUAGGAUUAUAUUGAGUGAAUCUGAAGUUUUAUAGAAGUGGCUGAGGUGUGAUAGAGAUGCAGUCUUUGUCUGCCUGCUGUUACUUUGCUGAGAGUUCACCAGUGCAUACGGAUAGCAGGAUUCCUGGCAUAUGGACUGUGGUACCUCAAGUGUUUGCCAAGAGGUGAGCAGGUAUCGACACUGUGCUGUUCUGUUACAAUCCUGUACUAUGUCUUUACUUCACAUGCCCUCUUUGCAUCAAGGAGUUAACAUCUGUUGUACUGAAUGAAAAUAUACCUAGCCAGGGAAGACAGAACAAUCACGUCAGCUGGUGCCAGGAAAUAUAAUGAAUCAGAAAAUGCAAUUUCUCCAAAGGAGCCAUAAAAAAUCCUUAAGAAUUGUAAACUGGCAGCACAUUCCAGUAGUCGAUUAGCAUCUUUCAUUAUCAUCAAAGUCAACAGAUGUAUUCAGGCAGGGAGACAGACGUUCUAUCUGUAAUUUCAAAUGCAUUAUAUGGCAAAAUUAUGUGUUCUUAAUUAAUUGCUUUUGCCAAGAACAAAACUUAGGGGGGUAAAAACAAAUGAUUAGAAACAAAAGAUUAUCAAAAUUAAAUUUGUAAUUUCAGGUGUGAGGUCACAGAACAAAUUAAAACAAUAUGUGUUCAAUAAAAUGCAAUGCUGGGAGAAUGGAGAAAAACAUAAUAUCAACUAGUGACGUAAAUAUAGAAAAGGAAAUGCUAGGCUGCUGUCGUGCAGCUCUUCCAUUUUACAUCUUUUCUGUAACACGCAGGGAUGUGAAUUUCACCGAGAAAUUCCUACCGCUCUAAUAGUCAAGAUCACAGUUAAUUAAGAAUUAGUGUUUACAGUUAUUGCUCCAUAGACUCCCUGGUCUACCUUUCUUUACUGUGAUCAUUGAGCAUGGGUUCAAUGUGGGCCUUUAACUCCCUCCUUGAUGAAGCAAGAAUUCCCCAUCUACUAAGAAAGGUGGCAACUCAGACUGAUUCUCCUCUGUGUCAUACUCACUGUGGUGAUGUAUUCUGACCCUAUAGAUUUUAUAAUAAAGAUCAGUUUGCCUUA